CAGCAGCCACGGUAAUACGUAGGGUGCAAGCGUUGUCCGGAAUUAUUGGGCGUAAAGAGCUCGUAGGCGGUUUGUCGCGUCUGCUGUGAAAUCCCGAGGCUCAACCUCGGGCUUGCAGUGGGUACGGGCAGACUAGAGUGCGGUAGGGGAGAUUGGAAUUCCUGGUGUAGCGGUGGAAUGCGCAGAUAUCAGGAGGAACACCGAUGGCGAAGGCAGAUCUCUGGGCCGUAACUGACGCUGAGGAGCGAAAGCGUGGGGAGCGAACAGGAUUAGAUACCCCUGUAGUCCCUGUCUCUUAUAC
RNAcentral lists this ribosomal RNA (301 nucleotides) under uncultured bacterium. RNAcentral describes it as "partial 16S ribosomal RNA". It matches the Rfam family "Bacterial small subunit ribosomal RNA", at positions 509 to 807 of the family's 1533-position model. The record is from RNAcentral.